Molecule: ribosomal RNA, 266 nt
Filed under: uncultured gamma proteobacterium 400m-FREE-7
Lineage: Bacteria; Pseudomonadati; Pseudomonadota; Gammaproteobacteria
Description: partial 16S ribosomal RNA
Rfam family: Bacterial small subunit ribosomal RNA
Source: RNAcentral
AGAGUUUGAUCAUGGCUCAGAUUGAACGCUGGCGGCAGGCCUAACACAUGCAAGUCGAACGGUAACAGGAAGUGCUUGCACUUCGCUGACGAGUGGCGGACGGGUGAGUAUUGCUUGGGAACUUGCCUUUGCGAGGGGGAUAACAAUUGGAAACGACUGCUAAUACCGCAAAACGUCUACGGACCAAACGGGGCUUCGGCUCCGGCGCAAAGAGAGGCCCAAGUGAGAUUAGCUAGUUGGUAAGGUUAAGGCUUACCAAGGCACCA